GGGAGAGAGAUUUCGACACUUUCAUAACUUCAAAUAAAGGAAAGGGGGAAGGAAUAGACAGUAGCUGAAUCAUAGAAAUCAAAAUCCAAUUCUAAGGCAGCAACAUCGGAAUGAUAACUAUAUACGAGAUAAAUCCAGAAGUUCGAUGCCGUUUUCACAUUAAUACUGUCACUAAAGAGACCAAAUUAUGCUGGAGUCAAAAUACUACAAGAUAAAACAAAACAGGCAUGAAGAAAUCUUAGCUGAAACAGAAACUAGAAAGGAAAGAGUUGUCAAAACAAUGGUGCUUGCUGAACAAAGAUACAAUAUUUCAACUUUUGAGAAGAACCAUGAGACAUCAAUCAGGUAAAAGAAUGCUAUGAAACUGAUAUUGAAUCGAACAAAUGAAACUAACAUCUAAUUAACACGACCAUCACGUAACAAUAAGAUGCUAGAAUACAGUGAACCUUAAGGCCCUUAAUAUAAAACUCACACACUUUAAGAGACAUGCUUAACUAAAAUACAAACUGAAAUUCUCAAUGGACACAAGCAGUAAACAAAUAGAGCAGAAAACAACUUAAAGACAUUACUCGAAAGAACAUUAUCUCUGAAAUGUUAAGAUUAGUAGGGAAUUUUACCCUUUCGAAGGCAGCAAGCUGAAACUGGACGAGCAGAGCAGCGAGGAAGAGCUUCCACCACUGAAAUGGGAUUCCAAAAACUCCGACGAAUCGAGCAGAGGUGAAUGAGGAAAGGACUAAGUAAAAUCCAUUUCUUUUUUUUAAAAAUAAAAACAGAAUGACCAAACUGGACAGGAAUUCAGCAGCCUUGAUUUGUGUCAAUAUAGUAAGCUGCACAAAAGAACAAACAAUAACUUUUAACAUACAAUCAAACUACACGGAAAUGACCAAACAGAAAGUACCCAAAUUGCAGGACAUAGAAAGAUAGAAAUGUGGACCAAAAAAAUCUUCAAAUCAAGAAAAAAGCUCUAUCUUUAUCCAAAUUUCACAGAGAACAAACAAAAUCCCAAUAAUUAAAUUCUGAGUUUUUCAAAAACUGAGGUUAGAAAGAGCAAUAGCAAUAGAACCACCAACUCUUCCAGUUACUUUUAAUGCCCCAAUUAAUCUAAUAAAAACAAUCAAAGAACCAAAUAAUGAUAAUAAUAAAAACACAAGGAGCACAGAUGAAGAUGAAAUUAGAAAUACAGAAUGAGAGCAGUGUGGUCGAUGCCAAGUGAAAUAGAGCUUAUCCUUCACAUUUUUGCCUCUUAGCUAGAAAUCUGACAUAUAAAUGAGAAAAGGGGAUAGUAGGCCAAUCAAAUGAAGAAUGACAGGUUGCAUAUACAAAAAAAGAAGAACGCACUCAUAAGAACUAUUAAGAAGUAACCGAAUGAUUCAAACUACAUAUGCAUCAUCAUACAUAUGAGUCCCACAAGUGGUAUAGAGGAGCUCGACACCCUGUUAGAUAUUUGAGUAAAUGCCCAUUUAGAAGCUCUAAUUAACAAGGAAAGAAAUAAAGAUAGAUAUACCAUCUAAUGCAUCUAACAUCAGAUGCUGCUGAAUUCCUAUCCAUUUUGGUUUUCUCCUGGUACAACAUCGUUGAUUCAAUGAUCCAAAUACGUACAAGGCAUAAAUAUAAAAACCACCGCCAUGUAGUGCUUGGCAGAGUCAGGCUCAAAGCGAGGGACUGCACAAGGCUGGGGUCUCACAUUGGGAUUUGUCCAGCAAGCCCCUGUCCCACCUGAGCUACAUGUUUUUUCCUUCCCUUUCCCAACUUUGUGCAUACGUCUUAAAUUCUAGAUAUUUCCUUAAUAUGUAAUGUAAUAUUGAUGAAACGAUUCAUGAGUCUUGUAUUACUAAGCUAGUUACAAAAUGAUCUUGUAGAUAUAGCAAAACAUAAUGUGGACGAAAUCUUGACUCAAGAAGGUAAUAAUAUAAUGGACAGACUUUGGUGAAUGGUUGAGACAUAAAUAUUUUACUGUCAAAUCAACAUGGAACUACAUAAAGACACAUUGAACAUGGGAAUGAUAUGUAUAGAUUCUAUAUUUGGAUAACCCAUCAUGCCAUUCAAAUAUCUUUCUCUAGGUGAAGAGCAUAAAAAUUUAAAGAUUUCAAUUGACAAUAAACUAAGUUGUUAUUGAUGUGUUGGUGUUGCACAGAUUCAAAUUAAAUUAGGAAUCGUGCAGCAAAGGUACCAAAAGAGAAAAGUGCUAUUGUCAAAAGUUUUAAUUUGUCUCUCUUGAACACAAAUUCAUCAAUAUACAAGAAGAAGGGUUUGAAGCAAAGCAAAAUUGUAUGUUUCAAGCUAAAAGGAAUUCUAAGCAGUAACAACUAACAAGACCAUGACUGAUAUACCAAAUUCCCCAUUCUUACAAGUUUGAUUUCAAGGUAACAUAUAAAUUAUUCAAUCAAUCAACUAAGCCCCAAACCCUAUGUGAGAGGAAAAUUGGAAACAUUACCCGAAUACAUCAGGAUGAGAUUCAAGAAGCAUAGCAAUGUCUCUCCUCAUUUUCCACUGUCAUCUUCACCAUUGUCUUGCUGCAUACACAUAAAAAAAACUUGAUUUCUAUCCAAGAAGAAGUAAAAUUGAGAAAUUCAUCAUUUAGAUGAAGAAAUUCAACAAUCUUCAUCGCCUUCUUAAAGAGAGAAAGAGAGAGUAAAGCAAUGAGAAGAGUGUGGGUGAGAAUGGAAUUUUGAAAAAGAGAAGAGGUUUA
Molecule: long non-coding RNA, 2689 nt
Filed under: Solanum tuberosum (potato)
Lineage: Eukaryota; Viridiplantae; Streptophyta; Magnoliopsida; Solanales; Solanaceae
Description: long non-coding RNA (STUB_LNC003915)
Source: RNAcentral